RNAcentral lists this unclassified non-coding RNA (229 nucleotides) under plant metagenome. Its description in RNAcentral is "partial contains small subunit ribosomal RNA, internal transcribed spacer 1, and 5.8S ribosomal RNA". The record is from RNAcentral.
UCUCCGUAGGUGAACCUGCGGAGGGAUCAUUACAGAGUUCAUGCCCUACCGGGUAGAUCUCCCACCCUAUGUUAUUAUUACUUUGUUGCUUUGGCGGGCCGUUAGGCUCCGGCCCGACUACCGGCCCCGGCUGGUAAGCGCCCGCCAGAGGACCCAAAAUCCUGAAUAUUAGUGUCGUCUGAGUACUAUAUAAUAGUUAAAACUUUCAACAACGGAUCUCUUGGUUCUG